Molecule: long non-coding RNA, 1433 nt
Filed under: Felis catus (domestic cat)
Lineage: Eukaryota; Metazoa; Chordata; Mammalia; Carnivora; Felidae
Description: lncRNA (ENSFCAG00000046800.1)
Source: RNAcentral
GUGAUUGAUUCUGGUUUGUGUCCCCCUCAUUACAGUCAGCUGUUUUUGCACACCACCAUAUUCGCAGUGGGUGGUACAGAAUACCAUUGAAUGACUGAGGGGAUUUCGGUAAAUAUUCGUAACCCUUUCAUGUGCAGGGGAGGUCUUUGAAUACCUACCCUCCUUAAGCCUCAGUUGUCUCUUUUGUCAACUGGGAAUAAUAGGAUUCCUAGUAAGAUCCUCUAAAGGGUUGCUUUGAGGAUGAAAUGCAAGAGUACACAUAUAUAAACCUUAAACACAGUGCCUAGCACAAAGUAAGCGCUCAUUAAACAGGAGCUUUUGUUUGCUGCAGCUCACUGCGGCAAACACACACGAACGGCGCAAACGCCGAGCCCUCUCAGCGGAAUUUUCUUUUCGAGGUUCGUCUGUCGCUGGGAAUUGACAAGCAAUUUCCCUCUGGGCCCUCAAAUGCUAAAACCUUCGUGUCUAUCUCGCGUCCUAACUCCGCUGUGAGCCCAGUCAUUUUGGUUAGAACAGGUUUGAUUUUACAAGCUCCGGAGUGGGGCCCUGACCCCGGUGGAAGUGUUCGCUUUAAAAGAUCUGCGGGAGGGGAGGGUUGGGGCGGGAGGAAGGGGGCUCCAGCGCCGGGGGGCGGGGGUGGGCAGGGGGCGGUGCGCGGCUCCUGCGUCAGAAGGGGCCCUGUUUUCGCACCUUCCCCUGACGUCAAAGCUCAGUCAGGACUGCAGCGCUACGUUCCCAGUGGAUGUCUACGUGGGCUGAGUCGUGACUCGGGGCCCGGGUCUUGCGAGUGACGCUCGCACUUCGCUCCUCGUCUCACACCGGCGGGAGAGGCCGGGGGGCUCCUCUGUCUGGCUCCGCGGGCUGCGGGCGGCAGGCAGCGGGCGGCCGCGGCGCCCUGGACGGCCCGGGGGGUCCGGGCACCGCCAUGGAACCAGAAUAGGAAGGGAGCGCGCCCACCGGUCCUCGGCCUGCGCCCAAGCCCGGGAGGAAUCCGGGAGGCCUCCGCGGAGGUGAGAACCGCGCCGCAGAGCACCGUGGCGGCGGCGGCGGGCGCGGGCGCGGGCGGGGCGGGCCGAGCCGAGGCGGCGCGCAGCCGGGGCGACGCCCGCGGGCUCCGUGCGCGCGGCCGGGGGUGGGGCCUGCUCGCCUCGCGCCCCGGGCGCCUUCUUCCUCCCGAGGGACGGCCGGACAGCUCGCCCGGCUCCUGCACCCGCCUCGCAGGUCCUUCUCGGCUUCUCCCGUCCCCAGUCCCUUUCUGCCCGUCCUGCGGGAGCGGGGCCGGCGUCUCCGGGCCCGGAUCGAGAUGUUUUCCAGGACUAAUGCAACUGAUGAAAUACCUGCCCUUUUCUGCUCAAGGUAAGUGACUUGUUACUUUAUGAAAAUACCAGAUACCAGUAGAAUUCAGAGUUGGAAUAAAAAGACCCAUUCAGUCA